CUCCAUAUACUCCACAGACCCGCCACAACCUUUUGACAGGUCUCAUUUGAUUGAUUAUCCACUAAUUCCCAGAGCCAAGUGUCAAAGUCACUGACCUUGUCCAUCGCUGCCUCAAUACAAAUUUCAAUUCCCAAAUUCGCCCAACAUUCUUUAGAGAAUGGGCACUCCAAAAAGAGAUGCCAUGACUCCUCGAGAUUGUUGCCACAGAUACUGCAUUCCCUAGGUAUGGUCAUCCCAC
RNAcentral lists this long non-coding RNA (238 nucleotides) under Linum usitatissimum (flax). RNAcentral's name for it is "long non-coding RNA (LUSI_LNC008048)". The record is from RNAcentral. Lineage: Eukaryota; Viridiplantae; Streptophyta; Magnoliopsida; Malpighiales; Linaceae.